This 327-nucleotide ribosomal RNA is filed under the name uncultured eukaryote. RNAcentral's name for it is "partial 18S ribosomal RNA". It matches the Rfam family "Eukaryotic small subunit ribosomal RNA", at positions 1470 to 1796 of the family's 1831-position model. The record is from RNAcentral.
CCCUUAGAUGUUCUGGGCCGCACCCGCGCUACACUGAAGGAGGCAGCGUGUACUCCUGGAUCGAAAGAUUUGGGUAACCCGCGAAUCUCCUUCGUGCUAGGGAUUGAGGUUUGCAAUUAUCCUUCAUGAACGAGGAAUUCCCAGUAAGUGCAAGUCAUAAGCUUGCGCUGACUACGUCCCUGCCCUUUGUACACACCGCCCGUCGCUACUACCGAUUGAAUGAUUUAGUGAGGACUUCGGACUGGGACCGAUGCGGCUUUCGGGCUGCGUCGGUAUUCUGGAAAGAUGUCCAAACUGUNUNAUUUAGNGGAAGUAAAANUCGUANCA